UGCAGAGGUCUCAAGCGUUGUUCGGAUUCAUUGGGCGUAAAGGGUGCGUAGGCGGCGCGGUAAGUCGGGUGUGAAAUCUCGGAGCUUAACUCCGAAACUGCAUUCGAUACUGCCGUGCUUGAGGACUGGAGAGGAGACUGGAAUUUACGGUGUAGCGGUGAAAUGCGUAGAUAUCGUAAGGAAGACCAGUGGCGAAGGCGGGUCUCUGGACAGUUCCUGACGCUGAGGCACGAAGGUCAGGGGAGCAAACUGG
This 253-nucleotide ribosomal RNA is filed under the name uncultured bacterium. RNAcentral's name for it is "partial 16S ribosomal RNA". It matches the Rfam family "Bacterial small subunit ribosomal RNA", at positions 524 to 776 of the family's 1533-position model. The record is from RNAcentral.